This 1101-nucleotide long non-coding RNA is filed under the name Ananas comosus (pineapple). RNAcentral's name for it is "long non-coding RNA (ACOM_LNC011879)". Lineage: Eukaryota; Viridiplantae; Streptophyta; Magnoliopsida; Poales; Bromeliaceae. The record is from RNAcentral.
AAAAUUAUUUCACUAACUAAUGGAGGACUACUAUAUAUGCCUACUAAAAUUUUUUAAUGUACUUAUUGCACCAUUUAAAUUCGGAAAUUAAUUUUUAUAACUAAUUUUCAAAAUUAAAUUUUAAAAUAACUAUCCGCAAUAUCGCGCGAGUCCCCUAACUAGUUACAAGGAUUUAUUACUAAAUAAAUAUCUAAAAAACAGGAUUUCAAGCAACCUGCAACCUAUUUCUAUACUCUUUCAUAUUAAAAUUCUCCUUAAAAAUGAUAAAGAAAUACCAAACAAAGCCUAAAAUAAUUUAAGUUUUACUACAAUUAAUAAUAACUUUUAUUGGAAGAAUUUUUUUUUAAAAAAAAAUUAUUCUUUGGUUAAAAACUUUAGGACGUGGUAUAUAUCUGUGGAGAAAAAAAUUCGUAAAAAACUUUAACGUUCGUUCCUUAAUUAGCAUUUCGUUUGGUAUAAAAUGAAAUAGUUCUUGAAUCAAAUACAAAUAUAGAGAGCAUUUGAAACUUCAAAAAAAUAAAUUUUUAUAAUUUUUUGAAUCGAUGAUCCAUAACAUGUCAAACGUAAUUUAAAGCAAGUGGCAAAAGGGUAUGGCGGAUUGGCGGUUGAUAUCCAAGGUCCCAAGUUCGAUUUCUAAUUGAUUCGUAUUUUAAGCUAAUUUUAUUUCUAAAAGAUAUAAACGAAACGGAUAGCAUACUACCUUUAUCUCUCAAAAAAAUUUUAAAAAAUAAAUUUUAUAAUUUUUCAAAAUGAUAAUAAAGUCUAUCAAACGGUCAUUAAUUAAACGGAGAAAAUCGAACGGCCUCCUAAAUAUAAAGUAUCAAAUUUCUCAAUUUAAGAUCGGUGUUAUUGAUCUUUAUCUAGAUAGUGAAUAGAAUUUUCUAUCAAAAAUUUAACCAAUUUCGAUUUUUUACAAUGUUAAGCUAGCAAGCAUUCUAUACCAGUUGUUAAAAAUUGUCAAAAAUUUGAGUUUUUUUUUAUCAUAAUGUAAAUGGUAUUAAAAUUUUAUAAACUUCAAUUUCUAGAAAUUUCAAACACUCCAAAUUAUGUUUAACAAAGAAUGGAUUGUCGAUUCGGAAGUUGUCACAUCCUGAUUCUUGC